UUUCCGUAGGUGAACCUGCGGAAGGAUCAUUAUUGGAUUUUGAAACUUCAGGCUGCUGCUGGCUCUCCUCGGAGGGCAUGUGCACGCUUGUUGUCCAUUAUUUCUCCCACUGUGCACAAAUUGUAGACCUUUCAGUAGGCCUAUGUUGUUUUUCACAAUCUCUUAAUGUAAUAGAAUGGUUUUGAAUCUUGGGAAAUACAAUACAACUUUCAGCAACGGAUCUCUUGGCUCUC
This 233-nucleotide unclassified non-coding RNA is filed under the name plant metagenome. Its description in RNAcentral is "partial contains small subunit ribosomal RNA, internal transcribed spacer 1, and 5.8S ribosomal RNA". The record is from RNAcentral.